This 481-nucleotide ribosomal RNA is filed under the name uncultured bacterium. Its description in RNAcentral is "partial 16S ribosomal RNA". It matches the Rfam family "Bacterial small subunit ribosomal RNA", at positions 28 to 507 of the family's 1533-position model. The record is from RNAcentral.
GAUGAACGCUGGCGGCGUGCUUAACACAUGCAAGUCGAACGAAGCACUUUAUUUGAUUUCCUUCGGGACUGAUUCUUUUUUGACUGAGUGGCGUACGUGUUCGUACCACCUCGGUCACCUGCCUUGUACAGGGGGAUAACAGUUGGAAACGUCUGCUCAUACCGCAUAAGCGCCCAGCAUCUCAUUAUGCAGUGUGCAAAACUCCGGGGGUAUCAGAUGGACCGGCGUUGGAUUUGCUAGUUGGGUGGGUAGGGGCCGACCAAGGCGACGAUCCAUAGCCGACUGGUGAGGGUGAACGGCGACAUUGGGACUGAGACACGACCCAAACUCCUACGGGAGGCAGCAGUGGGGAAUAUUGCACAAUGGGCGAAAGCCUGAUGCAGCGACGCCGCGUGAGCGAAGAAGUAUUUCGGUAUGUAAAGCUCUAUCAGCAGGGAAGAUAAUGACGGUACCUGACUAAGAAGCACCGGCUAAAUACGUG